GGGCCCGCACAAGCGGUGGAGCAUGUGGUUUAAUUCGAUGAUACGCGAGGAACCUUACCAAGGCUUAAAUGUAAUACGACCGAUUGAGAAAUCAAUCUUUUUUCGAACGGAUUACAAGGUGCUGCAUGGUUGUCGUCAGCUCGUGCCGUGAGGUGUCGGGUUAAGUCCCAUAACGAGCGCAACCCCUAUUUUUAGUUGCCAGCGAGUAAUGUCGGGAACUCUAGAAAGACUGCCUGUGUAAACAGAGAGGAAGGUGGGGAUGACGUCAAAUCAUCACGGCCUUAUGUCUUGGGCUACACACGUGCUACAAUGGUAAUUACAGUGGGAAGCCACCUGGCGACAGA
Molecule: ribosomal RNA, 344 nt
Filed under: uncultured bacterium
Lineage: Bacteria
Description: bacterial SSU rRNA
Rfam family: Bacterial small subunit ribosomal RNA
Source: RNAcentral